RNAcentral lists this transfer RNA (71 nucleotides) under Nippostrongylus brasiliensis. It matches the Rfam family "tRNA". Rfam says of the family: Transfer RNA (tRNA) molecules are approximately 80 nucleotides in length. Their secondary structure includes four short double-helical elements and three loops (D, anti-codon, and T loops). Lineage: Eukaryota; Metazoa; Nematoda; Chromadorea; Rhabditida; Heligmosomidae. The record is from Rfam by way of RNAcentral.
GCAUCGGUCAUUCAGUGGUAGAAUGCUCGCCUGACACGCGGGCGACCCGGGUUCGAUUCCCGGCCGAUGCA